Molecule: ribosomal RNA, 946 nt
Filed under: Pseudomonas sp. 8D64b
Lineage: Bacteria; Pseudomonadati; Pseudomonadota; Gammaproteobacteria; Pseudomonadales; Pseudomonadaceae
Description: bacterial SSU rRNA
Rfam family: Bacterial small subunit ribosomal RNA
Source: RNAcentral
CAUGCAGUCGAGCGGUAGAGAGAAGCUUGCUUCUCUUGAGAGCGGCGGACGGGUGAGUAAUGCCUAGGAAUCUGCCUGGUAGUGGGGGAUAACGUUCGGAAACGGACGCUAAUACCGCAUACGUCCUACGGGAGAAAGCAGGGGACCUUCGGGCCUUGCGCUAUCAGAUGAGCCUAGGUCGGAUUAGCUAGUUGGUGAGGUAAUGGCUCACCAAGGCUACGAUCCGUAACUGGUCUGAGAGGAUGAUCAGUCACACUGGAACUGAGACACGGUCCAGACUCCUACGGGAGGCAGCAGUGGGGAAUAUUGGACAAUGGGCGAAAGCCUGAUCCAGCCAUGCCGCGUGUGUGAAGAAGGUCUUCGGAUUGUAAAGCACUUUAAGUUGGGAGGAAGGGCAGUUACCUAAUACGUGAUUGUUUUGACGUUACCGACAGAAUAAGCACCGGCUAACUCUGUGCCAGCAGCCGCGGUAAUACAGAGGGUGCAAGCGUUAAUCGGAAUUACUGGGCGUAAAGCGCGCGUAGGUGGUUUGUUAAGUUGGAUGUGAAAUCCCCGGGCUCAACCUGGGAACUGCAUUCAAAACUGACUGACUAGAGUAUGGUAGAGGGUGGUGGAAUUUCCUGUGUAGCGGUGAAAUGCGUAGAUAUAGGAAGGAACACCAGUGGCGAAGGCGACCACCUGGACCAAUACUGACACUGAGGUGCGAAAGCGUGGGGAGCAAACAGGAUUAGAUACCCUGGUAGUCCACGCCGUAAACGAUGUCAACUAGCCGUUGGGAGCCUUGAGCUCUUAGUGGCGCAGCUAACGCAUUAAGUUGACCGCCUGGGGAGUACGGCCGCAAGGUUAAAACUCAAAUGAAUUGACGGGGGCCCGCACAAGCGGUGGANCAUGUGGUUUAAUUCGAAGCACCGCGAAGAACCUUACCAGGCCUUGACAUCCAAUGAAC